AGGAUGAAAGAGGAGCCUGGCGUGCAGGACUGGUGUCUGGCUGAGGGGUGGAGAAGGAUCUGUGAUUCCCAAGCUGGUAGUGUGGGUCCACAGCUGGAAAACCAUGUAAACUGCUUUCAAGAACUAGAGUUUGGUCAAGCACAAUACAGCAAAGUUCUAACAUCUAACCCAGAGCCUGGCACGCACAAGAUGCUCAGCCGCUGUUUGUGGAGUGAAUAAACAAGCCCGGCACUGGAUGCUUGACGCUGCCUCAAUGCUUGGGGCCCUGGGUGUGGACGGAGUGCUGACCGCAGCCCGGCAUCUUCAAGGGUUGCAUGUGGCACCUUGGCUGUCUCAUUUAUAAUCCAUGAGACAGUCAUUGUAUUCCAGAUUGCUCUUCACUGUCAUUUUAGCCUUUAGCUGCUUACUGAAAUGAGCUAAUUAAAGCUGAAUUAUUUUAAUUGCUAAUCAUCAAGAAAAAAGGUUUUUUUUUUGAAUGGAAAUGGCAAACUGUGUGUGUUAUCCUACCAUUAAAAGAAGCCAGAAUGUUCUUGUUUCGAAA
Bos taurus (domestic cattle) is the source of this 541-nucleotide long non-coding RNA. Lineage: Eukaryota; Metazoa; Chordata; Mammalia; Artiodactyla; Bovidae. The record is from Ensembl.